Molecule: ribosomal RNA, 398 nt
Filed under: uncultured bacterium
Lineage: Bacteria
Description: partial 16S ribosomal RNA
Rfam family: Bacterial small subunit ribosomal RNA
Source: RNAcentral
AUACGUAGGGUGCGAGCGUUGUCCGGAAUUACUGGGCGUAAAGAGCUCGUAGGUGGUUUGUCGCGUCGUCUGUGAAAUUCCGGGGCUUAACUCCGGGCGUGCAGGCGAUACGGGCAUAACUUGAGUACUGUAGGGGAGACUGGAAUUCCUGGUGUAGCGGUGAAAUGCGCAGAUAUCAGGAGGAACACCGGUGGCGAAGGCGGGUCUCUGGGCAGUAACUGACGCUGAGGAGCGAAAGCAUGGGUAGCGAACAGGAUUAGAUACCCUGGUAGUCCAUGCCGUAAACGGUGGGCGCUAGGUGUAGGGGUCUUCCACGACUUCUGUGCCGUAGCUAACGCAUUAAGCGCCCCGCCUGGGGAGUACGGCCGCAAGGUUGAAACUCAAAGGAAUUGACGGGG